Molecule: ribosomal RNA, 519 nt
Filed under: uncultured bacterium
Lineage: Bacteria
Description: bacterial SSU rRNA
Rfam family: Bacterial small subunit ribosomal RNA
Source: RNAcentral
AUGGCUCAGAACGAACGCUGGCGGCGUGCUUAACACAUGCAAGUCGAACGCGAAAGGGACUUCGGUCCUGAGUAAAGUGGCGCACGGGUGAGUAACGCGUAGAUAACCUGUCUUCAUGUCUGGAAUAAUACGCCGAAAGGGGUACUAAUACCGGAUAUUCUUGCUUUUCAUAAGUUAUGCAAGCAAAGGUGGCCCCUGCAUAUGCUACUGCAUGAAGAGGGGUCUGCGUACCAUUAGCUAGUAGGUGGGGUAAUGGCCUACCUAGGCGACGAUGGUUAGCGGGUCUGAGAGGAUGAUCCGCCACACUGGCACUGGAACACGGGCCAGACUCCUACGGGAGGCAGCAGUGAGGAAUAUUGCGCAAUGGGGGAAACCCUGACGCAGCGACGCCGCGUGAGUGAGGAAGGCCUUCGGGUCGUAAAGCUCUGUCAAGAGGAAAGAAGUGUACAAUGGCUAAUACCUGUUGUAUUUGACGGUACCUCUAAAGGAAGCACCGGCUAACUCCGUGCCAGCCGCCGC